AUCGGUUUAGUAUAAGAAGUAGGAAUAUGGUAAAUUGUAAAUUUAAAGCUAGAGUAGUUCUAACCGAGA
This 69-nucleotide transfer RNA is filed under the name Schistosoma indicum. Its description in RNAcentral is "tRNA-Tyr". Lineage: Eukaryota; Metazoa; Platyhelminthes; Trematoda; Strigeidida; Schistosomatidae. The record is from RNAcentral.